Molecule: ribosomal RNA, 253 nt
Filed under: uncultured bacterium
Lineage: Bacteria
Description: partial 16S ribosomal RNA
Rfam family: Bacterial small subunit ribosomal RNA
Source: RNAcentral
GACAGAGGAGGCAAGCGUUGUUCGGAAUCACUGGGCUUGAAGCGGGUGUAGGCGGCUCGGUAAGUGUCCUGUGAAAGCCCACGGCUCAACCGUGGAAUUGCAGGGCAAACUGCCAGGCUUGAGGUCGGUAGAGGUGCCUGGAACUCUAGGUGGAGCGGUGAAAUGCGUAGAUAUCUAGAGGACCGCCGGAGGCGAAAGCGGGGCACUGGGCCGAUUCUGACGCUGAGACCCGAAAGCGUGGGGAGCAAACAGG